GAAAUGCGAUACGUAGUGUGAAUUGCAGAAUUCAGUGAAUCAUCGAAUCUUUGAACGCACAUUGCGCCCUUUGGUAUUCCAAAGGGCAUGCCUGUUCGAGCGUCAUUUGUACCCUCAAGCUUUGCUUGGUGUUGGGCGUUUUUUGUCUUUGGCUCGCCCAAAGACUCGCCUUAAAACGAUUGGCAGCCGGCCUACUGGUUUCGCAGCGCAGCACAUUUUUGCGCUUGUAAUCAGCAAAAGAGGACGGCAAUCCAUCAAGACUCCUUCUCACGUUUGACCUCGGAUCAGGUAGGGAUACCCGCUGAACUUAAGC
This 313-nucleotide unclassified non-coding RNA is filed under the name plant metagenome. RNAcentral describes it as "partial contains 5.8S ribosomal RNA, internal transcribed spacer 2, and large subunit ribosomal RNA". The stretch from base 1 to 105 matches the Rfam family "5.8S ribosomal RNA", at positions 50 to 154 of the family's 154-position model. The record is from RNAcentral.